CCUACGGGAGGCAGCAGUGAGGAAUCUUGGUCAAUGGGCGAGAGCCUGAACCAGCCAAGUCGCGUGAGGGAAGACGGUCCUAUGGAUUGUAAACCUCUUUUGUCGGGGAGCAAAAAGGCCUCGUGAGGCCACAAGUGUGAGUACCCGAAGACAAAGCAUCGGCAAACUACGUGCCAGCAGCCGCGGUCAUACGGAGGAAGCGAGCGGUAUUUGGAUUUAUUGGGGUAAAAGGGUGCGUAGGCGGACUGGAAAGUCAGCGGUAAAAUCGAGGGGCUCAAUCGCUUUCCGCCGUUGAAACUGUCGGUCUUGAGUGGGCGAGAAGUAUGCGGAAGGCGAGGUGUAGCGGUGAAAUGCAUAGAUAUCACGCAGAACUCCGAUGGCGAAGGCAGCAUACCGGCGCCCGACUGACGCUGAGGCACGAAAGCGUGGGUAGCGAACAGGAUUAGAUACCCUUGUAGUC
This 460-nucleotide ribosomal RNA is filed under the name uncultured bacterium. RNAcentral's name for it is "partial 16S ribosomal RNA". It matches the Rfam family "Bacterial small subunit ribosomal RNA", at positions 338 to 795 of the family's 1533-position model. The record is from RNAcentral.